GCCAGUGACACUACUCAAAUAACAGUCAGAGAUCAUGGCAUUAUGUAUACCAUUGUCGGCAUCAUCACCAUCAUCAUCAUCAUCAUCAUCACCACUGUCAUCUGUCUCCAAAGAAAUAAGUGCCAAGCUUUAAGGUGGAUUUGGAAAGCAGUGCCAAAGAAUGAAACCUCAACUGUUUAGGAGGUCACUGAUGCCUCCAGAACAAGAACUAUUAAUGAUAACACUUAAGGAAAAUAAAAAUUAAAUUCUUGCUCACU
Rhinichthys klamathensis goyatoka is the source of this 257-nucleotide long non-coding RNA. RefSeq lists it as uncharacterized. Lineage: Eukaryota; Metazoa; Chordata; Actinopteri; Cypriniformes; Leuciscidae. The transcript is spliced from 2 exons. The record is from RefSeq and is a predicted model, not a curated record.